RNAcentral lists this ribosomal RNA (464 nucleotides) under uncultured bacterium. RNAcentral describes it as "partial 16S ribosomal RNA". It matches the Rfam family "Bacterial small subunit ribosomal RNA", at positions 28 to 507 of the family's 1533-position model. The record is from RNAcentral.
GACGAACGCUGGCGGCGUGCUUAACACAUGCAAGUCGAACGGUAAGGCCCCUUCGGGGGUACACGAGUGGCGAACGGGUGAGUAACACGUGGGUGAUCUGCCCUGCACUUCGGGAUAAGCCUGGGAAACUGGGUCUAAUACCGGAUAGGACCACGCUCUGCAUGGAGUGUGGUGGAAAGCUUUUGCGGGGUGGGAUGGGCCCGCGGCCUAUCAGCUUGUUGGUGGGGUGAUGGCCUACCAAGGCGACGACGGGUAGCCGGCCUGAGAGGGUGGCCGGCCACACUGGGACUGAGAUACGGCCCAGACUCCUACGGGAGGCAGCAGUGGGGAAUAUUGCACAAUGGGCGCAAGCCUGAUGCAGCGACGCCGCGUGGGGGAUGACGGCCUUCGGGUUGUAAACCUCUUUCAGUACCGACGAAGCGCAAGUGACGGUAGGUACAGAAGAAGCACCGGCCAACUACGUG